This 685-nucleotide long non-coding RNA is filed under the name Pan troglodytes (chimpanzee). RNAcentral's name for it is "long non-coding RNA NONPTRT010343". Lineage: Eukaryota; Metazoa; Chordata; Mammalia; Primates; Hominidae. The record is from RNAcentral.
UUCAAUCAAGUCAAUAACAGUUCAAUUUUGUUGACAUAACAUGUCAUAUGUGUUAACAUCAAUUCUGUUAUUUUUUUAAUACUCUAGAGCUAAUACUUGUUUCCAAUUUUGUAAAAUAUUUCAUUUGGCAAAGCUCACAGGCCCUCGGCACCAAGUCCACUGUGUCUAGGGAGCAAAUGGAUGCUGACUUCAUUCCAUGUCACCCCCAAAAUGCCAAGCUGCUCAGGGAACUGACGGGGUCUGAAGGGGCCACGCAGAACCCCCAGAAGUGGCAGGAAGAGGAUGGGCCAGUUUCUGACCAUCACCGAAGGCAGGCUGCCACAGCAGGAGACACUGGGAAUGCAGGAAAAAGCAGUGAAACUGGACUCAACAAAGUACCGCAAGUUUAAGAGAUGAAUCCCUGCCAUGUGGACUCCAGAACGGGAAAAGAUGCAGAUUCAUUUCAACAAAUAGUUAUUGAGCGCCUCCUAUGAGAAGCCUGUGUGCCGAGUGCUAGAGGGGUACAAAGACAACCAGGACAGGACUGGGAUUCCCAGCCCACACUGCACCCACACCGAACCUAUUGAUGGAACACACAGGUGUGCGUAGCCCCACACCUGCAACCUUGAAGCCGCAUGCACAUGGCUCUGGGCCUAAUCCAUAUGGGCUCCUGCUUUGCCAGGAAGAGCAGGUAAGAGAGGGAAAG